RNAcentral lists this long non-coding RNA (510 nucleotides) under Urocitellus parryii (Arctic ground squirrel). RNAcentral describes it as "lncRNA (ENSUPAG00010009909.1)". The record is from RNAcentral. Lineage: Eukaryota; Metazoa; Chordata; Mammalia; Rodentia; Sciuridae.
CCUCUGCAGUGGCUGGGGUCCUAGACCAGGGUGGCCUGGGGACAACUUCCUGGGGACAGGCCUGGAAGGGGUGCAGGAGGAGGAGRCGCAGGCACUUCCUGUAGUCGUGCUGGUGUCCAGUCUCUUUGGCCAGCAAGACUCCUAUCCCGUGGUGCCCUGGGAAGUUGAAACAGGGAGAAGAAGAGCUGUGCCCUGCAAUCCUGCCACUCCUGUGCUAUCUUCUGUCCAUCAGCCUUUCCCGAGAAGACAGAGAGCCUGGGUCAGGAACCUCUGGGAUAGACAUGUGCUUAGAAGAGAAGAAAAGGAAGCCUGACUACAAACUGGCUGCAGAUGAGCCCACAGCUGCCCUUGGAGGCCUUUGGAAGGAAGUCCUAUGUUCCCUGUACCCAACAGGCCUCUCUGCACCAAAAUGCAAACAUCAUCCUUUCCCCAGCGCAGCUGAGUUUGCUCAAGAUGGGGGCCUGGGAAGAGAAUGGUCUUCUGACUCGCACUCAGCUGGGUCCAGUGCAG